AUUAUUGUAACCAUGCAGGAGACAGGCCCAUAUUAUUGUAACCAUGCAGGAGACAGGCCCAUAUUAUUUAACCAUGCAGGAGACAGGCCCAUAUUAUUGUAACCAUGCAGGAGACAGGUCCAUAUUAUUUAACCAUGCAGGAGACAGGUCCAUAUUAUUUAACCAUGCAGGAGACAGGUCCAUAUUAUUUAACCAUGCAGGAGACAGGCCCAUAUUAUUGUAACCAUGCAGGAGACAGGUCCAUAUUAUGUGAAGAGCUGGAGGAAACGGGUACAAAAGUAUCUACAGUUGAAGUCGGAAGUUUGCGUACACCUUAGCCAAAUGCAUUUACAUUUCUGACA
Oncorhynchus tshawytscha (Chinook salmon) is the source of this 341-nucleotide long non-coding RNA. The record is from Ensembl. NCBI's taxonomy places the organism in Eukaryota, Metazoa, Chordata, Actinopteri, Salmoniformes, Salmonidae.